RNAcentral lists this ribosomal RNA (398 nucleotides) under uncultured bacterium. RNAcentral's name for it is "partial 16S ribosomal RNA". It matches the Rfam family "Bacterial small subunit ribosomal RNA", at positions 338 to 734 of the family's 1533-position model. The record is from RNAcentral.
CCUACGGGUGGCAGCAGUGAGGAAUAUUGGUCAAUGGCCGAGAGGCUGAACCAGCCAAGUCGCGUGAGGGAAUAAUGUCCUAUGGAUUGUAAACCUCUUUUGUCAGGGAGCAAAGUCACCCACGUGUGGGUGUUGGAGAGUACCUGAAGAAAAAGCAUCGGUUAACUCCGUGCCAGCAGCCGCGGUAAUACGGGGGAUGCGAGCGUUAUCCGGAUUUAUUGGGUUAAAGGGGUGCGUAGGCGGGUUAUCAAGUCAGCGGUAAAAUCGUGGAGCUCAACUCCAUCCAGCCGUUGAAACUGAUGAUCGUGAGUGGGCGAGAAGGAUGCGGAAUGCGCGGUGUAGCGGUGAAAUGCAUAGAUAUCACGCAGAACACUGAUGGCGAAGGCAGGAUACCGGAG